This 305-nucleotide ribosomal RNA is filed under the name uncultured bacterium. Its description in RNAcentral is "bacterial SSU rRNA". It matches the Rfam family "Bacterial small subunit ribosomal RNA", at positions 337 to 639 of the family's 1533-position model. The record is from RNAcentral.
GCCUACGGGGGGCAGCAGUGAGGAAUAUUGGUCAAUGGGCGGGAGCCUGAACCAGCCAAGUCGCGUGAGGGAAGACGGUCCUAUGGAUUGUAAACCUCUUUAGGCGGGGAGCAAUGCCGGGCACGCGUGCCCGGAGGGAGAGUACCCGCAGAAUAAGCAUCGGCUAACUCCGUGCCAGCAGCCGCGGUAAUACGGAGGAUGCGAGCGUUAUCCGGAUUUAUUGGGUUUAAAGGGUGCGUAGGCGGAUUUUUAAGUCAGCGGUAAAAUGUCCGGGCUCAACCCGUGCCGGCCGUUGAAACUGGGGG